CCACAGUUAGUUUAAAUAGAAAUGAAUUCUGAGUUAAUCAGAUAUUCAUAUUUUCUAUGCUAACAUUUUGGUAUAUUAAAAAUUUUUUCAGCCCUAAUUUAUUAAAAGAAGAAUAAGGAGGAGCAAGACAAAAUUAUGCUUCUUUUUAUAUAUAUAUAUAUAAUAUAUAUAUAUAUAUAUAUAUAUAUGUGUAUAAAAUCAUAUAUAUUUUUAUAUACAAAAAAUAUGAAAUUAUUAAUUUCAUAUCAUGAAUAAUGUGUACAUCGAUAUUGAUGUAUGCACAAAUGCAUUGAAAUAGAGUAAAAUGUAUUUUAAAAUGGUAAUAUUUGUGAAAAUAGGCCAAACAAAGAAGAAAUAUCGUUCUUACAUAAAAUAUUAAAAAAAUAUGUAUUAGAGAACGAAGAUUCUUUUUCAUAAUACGUAAGUAACAUGCGCAUGUGCAUUGCAAAUAUAAUUGAUGAUAAUGCUAAAAAUGAAUGAUAAUAAUAAUCUCAAACAAUGAAUGGAAUUGUUGUGUUAUUGGGAAAAAAAAGUCUUCAAUGAAAACUAAUUUUGCAUAAUGCAGUUAAGUGUGCUGUUUUCGUAUUAUGAUAUUUUCAAAUAUAUAGAAAAUAUCAUAUUCUCAUAUAUAUAUAAUAAAAAUUUUAUUAUAUAAUAUGUAAAAAAGAAUUAUAUAUU
RNAcentral lists this unclassified non-coding RNA (678 nucleotides) under Rhagoletis zephyria (snowberry fruit fly). Its description in RNAcentral is "external transcribed spacer". Lineage: Eukaryota; Metazoa; Arthropoda; Insecta; Diptera; Tephritidae. The record is from RNAcentral.